Molecule: ribosomal RNA, 120 nt
Organism: Colletotrichum sublineola
Lineage: Eukaryota; Fungi; Ascomycota; Sordariomycetes; Glomerellales; Glomerellaceae
Source: Rfam
ACAUACGACCAUACCCACUGGAAAACUCGGGAUCCCGUCCGCUCUCCCAUAGAUAAGCCAGUGAGGGCCGGAUUAGUAGUUGGGUCGGUGACGACCAGCGAAUACCUGGUGUUGUAUGUU